GCAGCCGCCACGGUAAUACAGAGGAUGCAAGCGUUAUCCGGAAUGAUUGGGCGUAAAGUGUCUGUAGGUGGCUUUUCAAGUCCGCCGUCAAAUCCCAGGGCUCAACCCUGGACAGGUGGUGGAAACUACCAAGCUGGAGUAUGGUAGGGGCAGAGGGAAUUUCCGGUGGAGCGGUGAAAUGCAUUGAGAUCGGAAAGAACACCAACGGCGAAAGCACUCUGCUGGGCCGACAUUGACACUGAGAGACGAAAGGUAGGGGAGCAAAUGGGAGUAGAUACCCCAGUAGUCCCUGUCUCUUAUAC
This 302-nucleotide ribosomal RNA is filed under the name uncultured bacterium. RNAcentral describes it as "partial 16S ribosomal RNA". It matches the Rfam family "Bacterial small subunit ribosomal RNA", at positions 508 to 807 of the family's 1533-position model. The record is from RNAcentral.